UGGGGAAUUUUCCGCAAUGGGCGCAAGCCUGACGGAGCAAUACCGCGUGAGGGAGGAAGGCUCUUGGGUCGUAAACCUCUUUUCUCAGGGAAGAACACAAUGACGGUACCUGAGGAAUAAGCAUCGGCUAACUCCGUGCCAGCAGCCGCGGUAAUACGGAGGAUGCAAGCGUUAUCCGGAAUGAUUGGGCGUAAAGCGUCCGUAGGUGGUUUUGUAAGUCUGUGGUUAAAGCGCGAAGCUCAACUUCGUAAGGGCCAUGGAAACUACAUAACUUGAGUGAAGUAGGGGUAGAGGGAAUUCCCAGUGUAGCGGUGAAAUGGGUAAAGAUUGGGAAGAACACCGGUGGCGAAAGCGCUCUACUGGACUUAUACUGACACUGAGGGACGAAAGCUAGGGGAGCGAAAGGGAUUAGAUACCCCUGUAGUC
RNAcentral lists this ribosomal RNA (426 nucleotides) under uncultured Chamaesiphon sp. Its description in RNAcentral is "bacterial SSU rRNA". It matches the Rfam family "Bacterial small subunit ribosomal RNA", at positions 355 to 795 of the family's 1533-position model. The record is from RNAcentral. Lineage: Bacteria; Bacillati; Cyanobacteriota; Cyanophyceae; Gomontiellales; Chamaesiphonaceae.